RNAcentral lists this ribosomal RNA (301 nucleotides) under uncultured bacterium. Its description in RNAcentral is "partial 16S ribosomal RNA". It matches the Rfam family "Bacterial small subunit ribosomal RNA", at positions 509 to 807 of the family's 1533-position model. The record is from RNAcentral.
CAGUCGCCGCGGGAAUACGUAGGUGGCAAGCGUUGUCCGGAAUUAUUGGGCGUAAAGCGCGCGCAGGUGGUUUAAUAAGUCUGAUGUGAAAGCCCACGGCUCAACCGUGGAGGGUCAUUGGAAACUGUUAAACUUGAGUGCAGGAGAGAAAAGUGGAAUUCCUAGUGUAGCGGUGAAAUGCGUAGAGAUGUGGAGGAACACCAGUGGCGAAGGCGACUCUCUGGUCUGUAACUGACGCUGAGGAGCGAAAGCGUGGGGAGCGAACAGGAUUAGAUACCCCGGUAGUCCCUGUCUCUUAUAC